RNAcentral lists this ribosomal RNA (608 nucleotides) under Cellulomonas sp. HPCAQK4. RNAcentral describes it as "bacterial SSU rRNA". It matches the Rfam family "Bacterial small subunit ribosomal RNA", at positions 836 to 1445 of the family's 1533-position model. The record is from RNAcentral. Lineage: Bacteria; Bacillati; Actinomycetota; Actinomycetes; Micrococcales; Cellulomonadaceae.
GAAUUCCGUGCCGCAGCAAACGCAUUAAGUGCCCCGCCUGGGGAGUACGGCCGCAAGGCUAAAACUCAAAGAAAUUGACGGGGGCCCGCACAAGCGGCGGAGCAUGCGGAUUAAUUCGAUGCAACGCGAAGAACCUUACCAAGGCUUGACAUACACCGGAAACGUGCAGAGAUGUGCGCCCCGCAAGGUCGGUGUACAGGUGGUGCAUGGUUGUCGUCAGCUCGUGUCGUGAGAUGUUGGGUUAAGUCCCGCAACGAGCGCAACCCUCGUCCCAUGUUGCCAGCGGGUUAUGCCGGGGACUCAUGGGAGACUGCCGGGGUCAACUCGGAGGAAGGUGGGGAUGACGUCAAAUCAUCAUGCCCCUUAUGUCUUGGGCUUCACGCAUGCUACAAUGGCCGGUACAAAGGGCUGCGAUACCGCGAGGUGGAGCGAAUCCCAAAAAGCCGGUCUCAGUUCGGAUUGGGGUCUGCAACUCGACCCCAUGAAGUCGGAGUCGCUAGUAAUCGCAGAUCAGCAACGCUGCGGUGAAUACGUUCCCGGGCCUUGUACACACCGCCCGUCAAGUCAUGAAAGUCGGUAACACCCGAAGCCGAUGGCCCAACCGUAAG